UUGUAGCCUGCUAUGGUAUAACUUAGUGGCAGACGGGUGAGUAAUGUAUAGGAAUCUACCUAGUAGUACGGAAUAAUUGUUGGAAACGGCAACUAAUACCGUAUACGCCCUACGGGGGAAAAAUUUAUUGCUAUUAGAUGAGCCUAUAUUAGAUUAGCUAGUUGGUGGAGUAAUAGCCUACCAAGGCAAUGAUCUAUAGCUGAUCUGAGAGGAUGAUCAGUCACACUGGAACUGAGAUACGGUCCAGACUUCUACGGGAGGCAGCAGUGGGGAAUAUUGGACAAUGGGCGAAAGCCUGAUCCAGCCAUGUCGCAUGAGUGAAGGAGGCCUUUGGGUUGUAAAGCUCUUUUAGUGAGGAAGAUAAUGACGGUACUCACAGAAGAAGUCCUGGCUAACUCCGUGCCAGCAGCCGCGGUAAUACGGAGAGGGCUAGCGUUAUUCGGAAUUAUUGGGCGUAAAGGGCGCGUAGGCUGAUUAAUAAGUUAAAAGUGAAAUCCCAAGGCUUAACCUUGGAAUUGCUUUUAAAACUAUUAAUCUAGAGAUUGAAAGAGGAUAGAGGAAUUCCUGAUGUAGAGGUAAAAUUCGUAAAUAUUAGGAGGAACACCAGUGGCGAAGGCGUCUAUCUGGUUCAAAUCUGACGCUGAGGCGCGAAGGUGUGGGGAGCAAACAGGAUUAGAUACCCUGGUAGUCCACGCUGUAAACGAUGAAUGUUAAAUAUGGGAAGUUUACUUUCUGUAUUACAGCUAACGCGUUAAACAUUCCGCCUGGGGACUACGGUCGCAAGAUUAAAACUCAAAGGAAUUGACGGGGACCCGCACAAGCGGUGGAGCAUGUGGUUUAAUUCGAUGCAACGCGAAAAACCUUACCACUUCUUGACAUGAAAAUCAUACCUAUU
This 895-nucleotide ribosomal RNA is filed under the name Wolbachia sp. RNAcentral describes it as "bacterial SSU rRNA". It matches the Rfam family "Bacterial small subunit ribosomal RNA", at positions 73 to 1003 of the family's 1533-position model. The record is from RNAcentral. Lineage: Bacteria; Pseudomonadati; Pseudomonadota; Alphaproteobacteria; Rickettsiales; Anaplasmataceae.